AAGAAGCACAAAAACAAAAGAAGAAGCACAAAAACAAAUCAAGAAGCACAAAAACAAAUUGAGAAGCACAAUUACAUUAAGAAAACCGGAAAGGGUAGGUACCAGUCGGCAACAGGAGACAUCACUGAUUGGACGUCCGCGCUGUUCAUCUUUGGAACCGGAAGUUACUCUGCCUGUGGCGCAUUUUUUUCAAACAUGAACAUUAGCGGUGACCCAAACAUAGCUGUCGCUAUUCGAGAAUAUUUUGAUUCAGGACAGACAUACGAGGUGAUACUGGAUAUGCUCAAGUGUAAUCGUGACAUUUCAAUUAGUAUGCGUACACUGAAAACGCAUUUAAAAGAAUCUGGACUGUACAGACGAGGCAACUAUUCUCCACUUCCUGAGGUGAGGCGUGCCAUUUUGGCCGAGCUUCGAGGACCAGGACAAUUGUUUGGAUAUCGGACCAUGUGGCAAGUUCUCAAACAAAAACACAAGCUGCGUGUCAAGCGUGAUGUAGUUAUGAGGCUGUUGAGACAACUAAAUCCUCAAGGAAUCGCUUUGAGAACUCGAAGGAGGUUCACAAGACGCACGUAUCACUCCAUGGGGCCCAAUUACAUAUGGCAUGUAGAUGGCUAUGAUAAACUGAAACCCUUUGGCUUGGCCCUGUCAGGAUGUAUAGAUGGCUUUUCAAGAAGACUGAUGUGGCUUGUGUGUGGAGCAACAAACAACAACCCAGCUGUUAUAGCUCACAAUUAUAUAAACUGUGUAAAGAGUCUUGGUGUGAUACCAAUGAGAUUACGAACAGACUUCGGGACUGAGAAUGGGACUAUGGCAGCAAUACAGUGUACCCUCCGUCACGCGCACACGGACUAUUAUGCUGGAUCGUCACGCCAGAGUAGCGUCCUGCUGGACGUGUUGAAAAGUUGGAUGAGAUAGACGUUAACAGCCGUCACUUUAUUGCAGGAACUCAAAAUGGUCACUGUCAGCUGUUGUGCCGAAAUGAGCAUGCUUGCCUAGAUUUAACGCCGCCAAUACAAAAUGAAAAACUCAGACCAAACUCUCCACUCCUCACAAUCAACACACAGAACAGAGUGAAAAGAAUACAGCAUUUUUAACAAGAACACUACUGCAGGGUCGCUACAAUAUUUAUGGAAAACUAAUAUGCAUUACUUUGUUUGACAUGUGGCAUGUUUUAAAUGGGACCAAAAUGUAACAAACCCUAUAAAAUGACCAAGAACAAAGCUAAAUUGAUUCUUAAAUAUUAAUUAUAUACCCAGGUCUCAGUUUUGGAUGGACUUGUUUGGAGACCUAAGAGACUCUGGAAACUUAAAUGGAAGCCACGAACACCAAUGCUUGCUGAGAUUCUGCUUCAGAGGGGUUCAACAGAAAGACCUGGAUGAAUGCAAAGACCUCUGGAACAAACACAGGAUCCGGCCAAGCAGACUUGCAUCGUGUCCAGGGGGGAUUCCAAACGAACUCUAUCUCUUGCCUCACAGAUAUGGUUCAAGAGACUGUGGAUUUGCUGUUGAGGAGAGGGAACUGGAUGUGUUUCCCGAGGAGGGGCUACCGGUUGGAUUGUGUGGUGAUCCAAACAUUGAGGAAUAUUUACAACAGGCUGUACAACAAAACACACUGCAGCAGCCACAAGACUGGGAAUCGGCCACAGAACUGUAUUUGGCCCUGAAGGACAUAGCUGGGUUUUAGAUACCAACUGAACUUCAGUUUGUAAUGACAUUUGUCAGAGUUACUCUGACGAAGACACACACUGUGUCGAAACGUUAGUUUCUUUCCUUUUUUUGCACCUAAUAAAACCUUUGGACUUGA
This is a long non-coding RNA of Haplochromis burtoni (Burton's mouthbrooder), 1803 nucleotides long. RefSeq lists it as uncharacterized. The transcript is spliced from 2 exons. NCBI's taxonomy places the organism in Eukaryota, Metazoa, Chordata, Actinopteri, Cichliformes, Cichlidae. The record is from RefSeq and is a predicted model, not a curated record.